GAAGGCUUCGGCCUUAGUGGCGCACGGGUGCGUAACGCGUGGGAAUCUGCCCUCAGGUUCGGAAUAACAGCGAGAAAUUGCUGCUAAUACCGGAUGAUAUCGCGAGAUCAAAGAUUUAUCGCCUGAGGAUGAGCCCGCGUAGGAUUAGCUAGUUGGUGUGGUAAAGGCGCACCAAGGCGACGAUCCUUAGCUGGUCUGAGAGGAUGAUCAGCCACACUGGGACUGAGACACGGCCCAGACUCCUACGGGAGGCAGCAGUGGGGAAUAUUGGACAAUGGGCGAAAGCCUGAUCCAGCAAUGCCGCGUGAGUGAUGAAGGCCUUAGGGUUGUAAAGCUCUUUUACCCGGGAUGAUAAUGACAGUACCGGGAGAAUAAGCUCCGGCUAACUCCGUGCCAGCAGCCGCGGUAAUACGGAGGGAGCUAGCGUUAUUCGGAAUUACUGGGCGUAAAGCGCACGUAGGCGGCUUUGUAAGUUAGAGGUGAAAGCCUGGAGCUCAACUCCAGAAUUGC
Molecule: ribosomal RNA, 510 nt
Filed under: uncultured Sphingomonas sp.
Lineage: Bacteria; Pseudomonadati; Pseudomonadota; Alphaproteobacteria; Sphingomonadales; Sphingomonadaceae
Description: bacterial SSU rRNA
Rfam family: Bacterial small subunit ribosomal RNA
Source: RNAcentral